GAUGAACGCUGGCGGCGUGCCUAAUACAUGCAAGUCGAGCGAACAGAUGAGGAGCUUGCUCCUCUGACGUUAGCGGCGGACGGGUGAAUAACACGUGGAUAACCUACCUAUAAGACUGGGAUAACUACGGGAAACCGGAGCUAAUACCGGAUAAUAUAUUGAACCGCAUGGUUCAAUAGUGAAAGACGGUUUUGCUGUCACUUAUAGAUGGAUCCGCGCCGCAUUAGCUAGUUGGUAAGGUAACGGCUUACCAAGGCAACGAUGCGUAGCCGACCUGAGAGGAUGAUCGGCCACACUGGAACUGAGACACGGUCCAGACUCCUACGGGAGGCAGCAGUAGGGAAUCUUCCGCAAUGGGCGAAAGCCUGACGGAGCAACGCCGCGUGAGUGAUGAAGGUCUUCGGAUCGUAAAACUCUGUUAUUAGGGAAGAACAAAUGUGUAAGUAACUAUGCACGUCUUGACGGUACCUAAUCAGAAAGCCACGGCUAACUACGUG
This 497-nucleotide ribosomal RNA is filed under the name uncultured bacterium. RNAcentral describes it as "partial 16S ribosomal RNA". It matches the Rfam family "Bacterial small subunit ribosomal RNA", at positions 28 to 507 of the family's 1533-position model. The record is from RNAcentral.